GUCGGGGUAGCGCAGUCGGUAGAGCACCGGACUCAUAAUCCGGAGGUCGCGGGUUCAAGUCCCGCCCCCGCA
RNAcentral lists this transfer RNA (72 nucleotides) under Celeribacter halophilus. Its description in RNAcentral is "Pseudoruegeria sp. ZXM137 tRNA". It matches the Rfam family "tRNA". From Rfam's summary of the family: Transfer RNA (tRNA) molecules are approximately 80 nucleotides in length. Their secondary structure includes four short double-helical elements and three loops (D, anti-codon, and T loops). Lineage: Bacteria; Pseudomonadati; Pseudomonadota; Alphaproteobacteria; Rhodobacterales; Roseobacteraceae. The record is from Rfam by way of RNAcentral.